UCUUCGGAUGUGUAUAAAGUGGCGAAAGGGUGAGUAACACGUGGGCAACCUGCCCUUUGNNNNGGGAUAGCCUCGGGAAACCGAGGUUAAUACCGGAUACUCCAUAUUUGUCGCAUGGCGAAUAUGGGAAAGCUCCGGCGGCAAAGGAUGGGCCCGCGGCCUGUUAGCUAGUUGGUGGGGUAGUGGCCUACCAAGGCAAUGAUGGGUAGCCGGGUUGAGAGACCGACCGGCCAGAUUGGGACUGAGACACGGCCCAGACUCCUACGGGAGGCAGCAGUGGGGAAUCUUGCACAAUGGGCGAAAGCCUGAUGCAGCGACGCCGCGUGCGGGAUGAAGGCCUUCGGGUUGUAAACCGCCUUCAGCAGGGACGAGGCCGCAAGGUGACGGUACCUGCAGAAGAAGCCCCGGCUAACUACGUGCCAGCAGCCGCGGUAAUACGUAGGGGGCAAGCGUUAUCCGGAUUCAUUGGGCGUAAAGCGCGCGUAGGCGGUCUGUUAGGUCAGGAGUUAAAUCUGGGGGCUCAACCCCUAUCCGCUCCUGAUACCGGCAGGCUUGAGUCUGGUAGGGGAAGAUGGGAUUCCAAGUGUAGCGGUGAAAUGCGCAGAUAUUUGGAAGAACACCGGUGGCGAAGGCGGUCUUCUGGGCCAUGACUGACGC
RNAcentral lists this ribosomal RNA (657 nucleotides) under uncultured bacterium. RNAcentral describes it as "bacterial SSU rRNA". It matches the Rfam family "Bacterial small subunit ribosomal RNA", at positions 77 to 746 of the family's 1533-position model. The record is from RNAcentral.